UGUUUAGUUCUCAAGAGACAAAAAACCCUGACAUCUGGGGAAGUCAGAUUCUGGCUUUUUGCCCUCCAUUCUGCUCUGCCCUUUUCCUCCUUCCUUUCCACAGGGCUUAGUCUCACAGAAAUGCUUUGGGAUGCAUUGCUGGAACAGCUCUGAAGAAAAUACGUAUGACAAGAAGCUGGAUAAAGAGCUCCUAUCUCUGAAGAGUCAUGCACAACAUUGAGAGAGCAUGCUAAAACAGCUCAAACAACUUGGGUCUCCCUCGUGUUGUAUACACUUUUCUUUAAAACAAAACAAACAAGCAAAAAACAACCAACCGAACAAAAUACCUAACUGAUUACAGGCUGAGUUUCCAGAUGGGUACAUGGCGGAAGGUCAUCAGUCAACAUGCUGCAUGCUGGUCCUUGGUUGAGGAGUGUAAACUUAGCAGCAGCACAGUGGGUCGUAAUUUCAAGCAUCAGAGAAGCAAAAGCCAUCCUUCAGUGAGAAAUUGGCAAUGGAAUUCGCCAUUCCAGAAAAAGAAGCAUCAAUAUAGAGAAAGAAGAAAAAUAUUCUGUGUCAUACUUGGUGAAAUGUGAUAUAGAUAUAAAUUUAGAACAUGUCAAGUCUUCUAAAAAAUUCCAUCUGGCUUAAGGUGACCUCUGUCUCGGGGAGCUGAAUGCACUGCAGAGACCCUCAAAUGGCAUGGGAUGCUGAGAAGAUGUCCAGCGGCUGCGAUGUAAACUUGGAGACAUCCUAAAUCUCACAUAGCACUUUGCCUUUUUGCUAGUCUAAAUAAGCUAAUGAAUGUACCUCUAGCUACGCCACAAUCAAUCCUGAGGAGAAUGAAAGUCAGUGAGUCCCACUCAAAAACGAACAUGAAAAAUCCUAUUUCUUCUAUUUAUUUAAACCCUUCCUUCAUCUGGCAUCAGAAAGGAAUAUAUUUAAGUCAGGAGCUGAUCUGUAUCACAGAAGAAAGUGUGUUGCUAGGAAAGCACAUAACAGCCAAGAAUGGACACAGCUGAUAUCUAAAGGGUGGUAAGCUGUGAGCUGACUAGAUUACACAGAUCUGUGAGAUGCUGAAUCUAUUAUCACUCUUGGGGUUUAUCACUGUUUAUCUUUGCAGAUCAACUUCCAAUUCACUUCAAAGUCAGUUGCCCUCACAUAGUCCUCCGUAGUACCAUGUCAAUAUAAGUUUAUGUACAGCAGUAAAAAUGUAAGUAUCUAUUCGGUGUACCUACUGAAUAGGCUAUGGUAAUAGAAUCUUGUUUUGGGGAAAAGAGGUAGAUAUAACGGUUCAAUCAUCAUUAGGAUGAGGAACAGUUAGGUUAGAUACUUUCAGCAACAUGAAGACUUUCAAAUAAGUCCUCUCCCAGGGAAAUGCGUUCUGUUAGAUCUGUUUCUUUGUGCAAGAGCAAACUAAAGGUUUAAGGAUGUCAGAGCAGAAAGAAAGGAAUAAUUUGACCUUUGGUGUAUCUAGUCAGUUUUGCAGGUAGAAGUGAGCUGUCUCUCUCCAGACUUCAUGCUGACUGAAGUUGAUCUAGAUUUAAGUCAAAACCCAAGGCUAGUAAGUAAUCUGAAGGGCAGGAUUUAUUAAAU
Long non-coding RNA from Phasianus colchicus (ring-necked pheasant), 1575 nucleotides. The record is from Ensembl. NCBI's taxonomy places the organism in Eukaryota, Metazoa, Chordata, Aves, Galliformes, Phasianidae.